GAUGAAAACGUAGCGAAAUGCGAUAAGUAGUGUGAAUUGCAGAAUUCAGUGAAUCAUCGAAUCUUUGAACGCACAUUGCGGCCAUAGGUAUUCCUUUGGCCAUGCCUGUUCGAGCGUCAUUUACACCCUCAAGCCUAGCUUGGUGUUGGGCGUCUGUCCCGCCGUUUUCGCGCGCGGACUCGCCUCAAAGUCAUUGGCGGCGGUCGUGCCGGCCCCCUCGCGCAGCACAUUUGCGCUUCUCGGAGGCCCGGCGGAUCCGCGCUCCAGCAAGACCUUUCACGACUUGACCUCGGAUCAGGUAGGGAUACCCGCUGAACUUAAGCAUAUCAAUAAGCGGAGGA
This 341-nucleotide unclassified non-coding RNA is filed under the name soil metagenome. Its description in RNAcentral is "partial contains 5.8S ribosomal RNA, internal transcribed spacer 2, and large subunit ribosomal RNA". The stretch from base 1 to 119 matches the Rfam family "5.8S ribosomal RNA", at positions 35 to 154 of the family's 154-position model. The record is from RNAcentral.